RNAcentral lists this ribosomal RNA (863 nucleotides) under uncultured bacterium. RNAcentral's name for it is "bacterial SSU rRNA". It matches the Rfam family "Bacterial small subunit ribosomal RNA", at positions 8 to 861 of the family's 1533-position model. The record is from RNAcentral.
AGAGUUUGAUCCUGGCUCAGGAUGAACGCUAGCUACAGGCUUAACACAUGCAAGUCGAGGGGCAGCAUGAAGGAAGCUUGCUUCCUUUGAUGGCGACCGGCGCACGGGUGAGUAACGCGUAUCGAACCUGCCCUGUACACGGGAACAGCCUUGCGAAAGUAAGAUUAAUGCCCGAUGUUGAGAUUUCGCCGCAUGACGGAGUUUCCAAAGAUUUAUCGGUACAGGAUGGCGAUGCGUCCCAUUAGCUUGUUGGCGGGGUAACGGCCCACCAAGGCGACGAUGGGUAGGGGUUCUGAGAGGAAGGUCCCCCACAUUGGAACUGAGACACGGUCCAAACUCCUACGGGAGGCAGCAGUGAGGAAUAUUGGUCAAUGGUCGCGAGACUGAACCAGCCAAGUAGCGUGCAGGAUGACGGCCCUCCGGGUUGUAAACUGCUUUUAGUUGGGAAUAAAAGGGCGUACGUGUACGCCGAAUUGUAUGUACCAUCAGAAAAAGGACCGGCUAAUUCCGUGCCAGCAGCCGCGGCAAUACGGAAGGUCCGGGCGUUAUCCGGAUUUAUUGGGUUUAAAGGGAGCGUAGGCGGGUUUUUAAGUCAGUUGUGAAAGUCUGCGGCUCAACCGUAGAAUUGCAGUUGAAACUGGAAGCCUUGAGUGCACGCAGGGGUGCCGGAAUUCAUGGUGUAGCGGUGAAAUGCUUAGAUAUCAUGAAGAACUCCGAAAGCGAAGGCAAGUGCCUGGAGUGCAACUGACGCUGAGGCUCGAAAGUGCGGGUAUCAAACAGGAUUAGAUACCCUGGUAGUCCGCACGGUAAACGAUGGAUACUCGCGGUGCGUGAGUCAUUGUGCGCCGCCAAGCGAAAGCGUU